Molecule: long non-coding RNA, 592 nt
Organism: Fukomys damarensis (Damara mole-rat)
Lineage: Eukaryota; Metazoa; Chordata; Mammalia; Rodentia; Bathyergidae
Exons: 3
Source: RefSeq, a predicted model, not a curated record
UCCAAGCAGCAGCCCGAUAGCCGCAAGUCAGGCCCUGCACGCACUGAGGCGCUGCUGUCCCUCACGGCUUGCCGUCAGCCCCGGAAACCCGGAAGUCCACGCUUUCAGGGAGUACCAACUUCUGAGGAAUUGACUUGAGAGAAAGUGAAAAUCAUCAUCAUGCCGUCGCAGGCCAGGGAGAAUCAUGGGAGCAGCAGGAAGGACCGUGGUGCGGGCUUUGUGUGUCGAAUCUCACACAACAGCAGUUGUGCCUUCAGCCCAGGCCUGAUUAACUCCCUGCCUCAUGCUGAAUGAGAAGGAAAGCUGUCCAGGUUUUCCUGAGGCACUGCAGAGGGAACAACAGAGUUUGCCUUUGAACUCAGUGUCCUGAUUGGCCUCCCGUUUUAGCUGGAAGACUGCCAAUCCCCAGGACAAGAGACCCACUGUCGGCUUCUUGUGCUCCCAGCUGGCAGAGCCAAGGUCGGAGACCCACAGAGGUACAAGCCUGCCAGACCUUCACAGCAAAAGAGUGGCCAGCACUGCCAGGGCCCACUGUGUGGCCCUCCUCUUACUCACCUGUUGUUUUUUUUUCUUUCUGCUUAGUUUGCUAAAA